ACUGUCAGGCUCGAGUAUGGAUGCGGAUAGGCGGAAUCUGUAGUGUACCGGUGAAAUGCAUAGAUAUUACACAGAACACCGAUUGCGUAGGCAGCUUACCAUACCAGCACUGACGCUGAAGCACGAAAGCGUGGGGAGCGUACAGGAUUAGAUACCCUGGUAGUCCACGCCAUAAACUUUGCUCACUCGCUGUUGCCGAUACACAGUCAGCGGCCAAGGGAAACCGAUAAGUGAGCCACUUGGGGAGUACGCCCGCAAGGUUGAAACUCAAAGGAAUUGACGGGGGCCCGCACAAGCGAUGGAACAUGUAGGUUUAAUUAGAUGAUACGCGAGGAACCUUACCUGGGCUUAAAUGUGAAGUGCAUUGAUUGGACACAAUCAGUUCCUUCGGGACCCUGUACAAGAUGCAGCAUAGGUCGUCGUCAGCUCGUGCCGUGAGCUAUCGGGUUAAGUCCCAUAACGAGCGCAACCCCUAUCGUUAGUAACCAGCGCGUGAUGGCGGGCGAUUUUAGCGAAACUGCCGGUGUAAACUGCGAGGAAGGUGGGGAUGACGUCAAAUCAGCACAGGCCUCUUAUGUCCAGGGCUACACA
This 591-nucleotide ribosomal RNA is filed under the name uncultured organism. Its description in RNAcentral is "bacterial SSU rRNA". It matches the Rfam family "Bacterial small subunit ribosomal RNA", at positions 632 to 1220 of the family's 1533-position model. The record is from RNAcentral.